Molecule: long non-coding RNA, 563 nt
Organism: Neogale vison (American mink)
Lineage: Eukaryota; Metazoa; Chordata; Mammalia; Carnivora; Mustelidae
Exons: 3
Source: RefSeq, a predicted model, not a curated record
GCCUAACCCACUGAGCCACCCAGGCGCCCCCCUAGGGGGAUUUAUGACUUCUGAAGUCCGCCUGGCGGAACCGGACAUGGAGUUCUAGGCCUGGACCCUCCCGUCAGUUAAAGCCGCCGGUACUUUUUAAUUGUUUCACAUGUUUCACCUUAAAGGAAGAUUUCCUUUGAUCCAGAGGGCGGAGUUGGGUAGGAACAUCCAGCCAGAUGUCUAUCUGUAUUUCUAGUCCCAACAUUCUGUUUAAGUCCUUCCUAUCAAGACUACUUUCUAGUUUCUGAACCACAGCAUUUUACACGAAGGUAACAGUGAAUGGAUCUGCAGUUCCCAGGUUAUUUGUGCUUUGAAGAAGCUUCUCUCUCCUGUUUAUUAUUUAAAUUUUAGCUAACACACAGUGAAAUAUUGGAUUCUGGAGUAGAAUGGAGUGACUCAUCACUUACACACAACACCCAGGACUCAUCACAAGUGCCCUCUUUAAUGCCCCAUUACCCAUUUGUCCCUCCCCCACCUCCCUCCAUCAACCCUCAAGUUUAUUCUCUAUCGAUAAGAAUCACUUAUGGCUUGUU